Molecule: small RNA, 850 nt
Filed under: uncultured Paenibacillus sp.
Lineage: Bacteria; Bacillati; Bacillota; Bacilli; Caryophanales; Paenibacillaceae
Description: bacterial LSU rRNA
Rfam family: Bacterial large subunit ribosomal RNA (bases 346-850)
Source: RNAcentral
CGCCCGUCACACCACGAGAGUUUACAACACCCGAAGCCGGUGGGGUAACCGCAAGGAGCCAGCCGUCGAAGGUGGGGUAGAUGAUUGGGGUGAAGUCGUAACAAGGUAGCCGUAUCGGAAGGUGCGGCUGGAUCACCUCCUUUCUAUGGAGAAUCGUCUUCUGCAACGAAGACAUUCAAAUAAGCAGCUAAGCUGCAAAACACUCACUCGUUGCUCAGUUUUGAGAGUUCAACUCUCAAUUUGUUCUUUGAAAACUAGAUAAACGAAACAAUUUUGCGAUUUAGAAAUAUCCUUUUCACUUUACUCGUGUCAAAACAAGUAAAGUAUGAAAUAGAGUGCUUAGUUGGUUAAGCUAUUAAGAGCACACGGAGGAUGCCUAGGCGCUAGGAGCCGAUGAAGGACGUGGCGAACAACGAUACUGCCUCGGGGAGCUGUACGCAAGCUUUGAUCCGGGGAUGUCCGAAUGGGGAAAUCCAGCUAUCGUAAUGGAUAGUUAUCUCCACCUGAAUACAUAGGGUGGUUGAAGGCAGACCAGGGGAACUGAAACAUCUAAGUACCUUGAGGAAGAGAAAACAAUAGUGAUUCCGUCAGUAGCGGCGAGCGAACGCGGAUUAGCCCAAACCAGGGAGCUUGCUCUCUGGGGUUGUGGGACGUCUCACAUGGAGUUACAAAGGAACUGAUUAAACGAAGAGGUCUGGAAAGGCCCGCCAAAGAAGGUAACAGCCCUGUAAUUGAAAGUCUGUUCUCUCCGAGACGGAUCCCGAGUAGUGCGGGGCACGUGAAACCCCGUAUGAAUCCGGCAGGACCAUCUGCCAAGGCUAAAUACUCCCUAGCGACCGAUAGUGAAGCA